AAUCUGUGUGGAGGAGGAAAGGAGGAGAGACUAGAAGCGGAGAGGCCCUUUGGAGGCUCUGGUUCAGGCAAAAAAGGAUGGGCUGUGAAUUCCUGCAUUUAUCUACCUUUGUUUUCCUGUGUAGACACAAGGCUGCCUGGCCUCUCAGAGGUGAGAUAACUUAUUAUCUAGCAACUAUUUCCCUGGAGCCCAGCCUGAGCUGAAGUGGGCUUUCAUUUCUCCUCUUACUGCCUUGCAGUGUAACUUUGG
This 249-nucleotide long non-coding RNA is filed under the name Homo sapiens (human). Its description in RNAcentral is "non-protein coding lnc-RAD23B-7:1". Lineage: Eukaryota; Metazoa; Chordata; Mammalia; Primates; Hominidae. The record is from RNAcentral.